CCUACGGGGGGCAGCAGUGGGGAAUAUUGGGCAAUGGGCGCAAGCCUGACCCAGCAACGCCGCGUGAAGGAAGAAGGCUUUCGGGUUGUAAACUUCUUUUCUCAGGGACGAAGAAAGUGACGGUACCUGAGGAAUAAGCAACGGCUAACUACGUGCCAGCAGCCGCGGUACUACGUAGGUGGCAAGCGUUAUCCGGAUUUCUUGGGGGUAAAGGGCGUGUAGGCGGGCGAGCAAGUCAGAUGUGAAACCUCAGGGCUCAACCCUGGGCCUGCAUUUGAAACGGUGUUUCUUGAGUGCUGGGGGGGCAAGCGGAAUUCCGGGUGUAGCGGUGAAAUGCGUAGAUAUACGGAGGAACACCAGUGGCGAAGGCGGAUUGCUGGACAGUAACUGACGCUGAGGCGCGAAAGCGUGGGGAGCAAACAGGAUUAGAUACCCCAGUAGUC
RNAcentral lists this ribosomal RNA (443 nucleotides) under uncultured bacterium. RNAcentral's name for it is "partial 16S ribosomal RNA". It matches the Rfam family "Bacterial small subunit ribosomal RNA", at positions 338 to 795 of the family's 1533-position model. The record is from RNAcentral.